UACACAUUUCAUUUUAAAAACUAUCAUACAAAAAAAUUCUCAAAGCUGCUAAAAAAGUUCACUGGUUUCCACUGGAAAAAUUUCAUAAGUAACUCAUCUAGAGUAAAACAGAACAUGUAGUAUUACAAAUGUUAGGUUUUAACACUACCAAUGCAGUUAAUUUGUGUGAAAUCUACCUAGUAAAAAGACUAUUUUUCAUAGAACCAAUACAUGUUUCUCCCCCUAAUCUUGUAGAGCCAUGAGCUACAGACAAGCUUCUCAUCAAAGUUCAGUUCAAACAGGCUCUGAGCAGGAGACAACCUUUAGGUAGCGGUCCUCCCCUCACAGUGUCUUUCAAAUGCUUCUGCCAUACUUUUUAAUGGAGCCAGGAUGUGCAGAAUAUGAGUGUGGGAAGACUGAACGUUUUUUUUAACAGGACAUACAACAUUUGCUUCCUUCUUUAAAAAAAAAAUGGUGUUUGCAUAAUUAAAAUAAAAUUUACUGUAAAGAUUUCAGAAAUAAAGUUUGAUGAAAAAAGACAACAUAAAACCAACCAUGUGUGUAGGUAUGUAUAUAUACAAUUACAUAACUAUAUCUACAUGCAUACUUUUUAUAACAAGAGUAAGAACUGUAUCAAUGUCUUUAAUUCUUUAAAUUCUAUUAUUCCAAGCUUGUAGAGGAAUAUGCUAGAUUCUUUUUUCUUACUAAAAGGCUUCAUUCAUUUAAUAAAAGAGGAAUCAGAACUUACAAUUUAUUUCCUUGAAUUAACAGAGAAAUAUCUUUCAUUUACCAAUUGUGUAAAUAAUGCCUGAGUGACAGAAACAUGCAGAAUAAUUUCACAAUGGAAAUAUCCAGAGUAUAAAAAACAAGUUUGAACUCAGGCACAUUUUACCUAAGCAAUUAAUUUCUAAACAUAGCUGCCUUCAUCAGUUGUGUAACCACUGGGUAGGAGUCCUAAUCUAUCAGAAAGGGAGAAGUUGCAACAGACAAUAUGACAGAAUUCAUUCAGAGACUGUCUGGCCCAUAUAUGAUCGUGCACUUCUCCAUGGUCCCCUACCUCCUUUUUGUCUCUUCCCACAGCAAGCAGAAACGGAACUAGGUCACUCUGGCCGCCACCCUCAAACACAUACU
RNAcentral lists this long non-coding RNA (1110 nucleotides) under Equus asinus (donkey). RNAcentral describes it as "lncRNA (ENSEASG00005025941.1)". The record is from RNAcentral. Lineage: Eukaryota; Metazoa; Chordata; Mammalia; Perissodactyla; Equidae.